AAAUAAUCAAAUGUUCUGCCAUAGCUCCUCCAAACCCUUUUCACAAAGCUUCCCAUGCUGGAUUGGAAAGCUCCUUCUUUCCAACGAUAGACCUAUUGCCAUUUUUCCUUUCUAGACCUCAACACACAUAACAACCCUAGCUCAUACCCUCGUCCACUUGCAAUUUCUUACUAUUCAUAAUCGCAAUCCCUCUUCAUAACCAUUACAUAACAUUCCAGCUCCCCUCAUCCUUGAUUCUUUCACACAGAAAGCAUCACUACUAAGGUCGAUCUCAUCUCGCCAUGUCUUUUCUCUUUGCCUCACCACAGCGACUGAAGAAGAAAGGUUCUCUAGUUCUUCAGUUCCUCCACCCUCGCAAACUCGCCUCACACAUAGAUUGUCGUGAUUCAUGGUAUGGGGUUACUAAUUUUUGCAAUCUAGGUUGAUAGGCACAGGUUUUUCUCAAUAUGGGUUCACCUCCAACAUUUGAGAUUGUUCAAUUCAGUUUGGGUUCAUGUAAUGGGUAUGCGAUUCAAUCCUUUUGAGAUUUGCUUCGCCAUAGCAAGGAAUUAUUUAAUUUUAUUGCUUCAAUGCUUUCUUCAAUUGGGUAUAGGUUUUGAUAAUUGGAAAGAAUUUUUGGGUUUGUAGGUAGG
This 632-nucleotide unclassified non-coding RNA is filed under the name Hevea brasiliensis (rubber tree). Lineage: Eukaryota; Viridiplantae; Streptophyta; Magnoliopsida; Malpighiales; Euphorbiaceae. The record is from RNAcentral.